GUUGAACGCUGGCGGCGUGCCUAAUACAUGCAAGUCGAGCGAACAGACGAGGAGCUCGCUCGUCUCGCGUGAGCGGCGGGCGGGUGAUUCACACGUGCAUGACCUAUCUAUAGGACUGGGACAACUUCGGGAAUCCUGAUCCCACACCGGAUCAGAUGUGGAACGGGGGGGAUCAAUAGUGAAAGACGGUUUUGCUGUGACGUAUACAGGGUUCCGCGCCGCAUUAGCUAGUUGGUAAGGUAACGGCUUACCAAGGCAACGAUGCGUAGCCGACCUGAGAGGGUGAUCGGCCACACUGGAACUGAGACACGGUCCAGACUCCUACGGGAGGCAGCAGUAGGGAAUCUUCGGCAAUGGGCGCAAGCCUGACGGAGCAACGCCGCGUGAGUGAUGAAGGUCUUCGGAUCGUAAAGCUCUGUUAUUAGGGAAGAACAAAUGUGUAAGUAACUAUGCACGUAUUGACGGUACCUAAUCAGAAAGCCACGGCUAACUACGUG
Molecule: ribosomal RNA, 497 nt
Filed under: uncultured bacterium
Lineage: Bacteria
Description: partial 16S ribosomal RNA
Rfam family: Bacterial small subunit ribosomal RNA
Source: RNAcentral